CAGCAGCCGCGGUAAUACGUAGGGUGCGAGCGUUAAUCGGAAUUACUGGGCGUAAAGCGUGCGCAGGCGGUUGUGUAAGACAGGUGUGAAAUCCCCGGGCUUAACCUGGGAACUGCGCUUGUGACUGCACAGCUAGAGUAUGGCAGAGGGGGGUGGAAUUCCACGUGUAGCAGUGAAAUGCGUAGAGAUGUGAGGAACACCGAUGGCGAAGGCAGCCCCCUGGGCCAAUACUGACGCUCAUGCACGAAAGCGUGGGGAGCAAACAGGAUUAGAUACCCCCGUAGUCCCUGUCUCUUAUACC
Molecule: ribosomal RNA, 301 nt
Filed under: uncultured bacterium
Lineage: Bacteria
Description: partial 16S ribosomal RNA
Rfam family: Bacterial small subunit ribosomal RNA
Source: RNAcentral